Molecule: ribosomal RNA, 216 nt
Filed under: uncultured bacterium
Lineage: Bacteria
Description: partial 16S ribosomal RNA
Rfam family: Bacterial small subunit ribosomal RNA
Source: RNAcentral
UAACCUGCCUAUUAGAGGGGGAUAACUAUUGGAAACGAUAGCUAAUACCGCAUAACAGUAUGUAACACAUGUUAGAUGCUUGAAAGAUGCAAUUGCAUCGCUAGUAGAUGGACCUGCGUUGUAUUAGCUAGUAGGUAGGGUAUGGCCUACCUAGGCGACGAUACAUAGCCGACCUGAGAGGGUGAUCGGCCACACUGGGACUGAGACACGGCCCAG